AUGUCUGGGAAACUGCCUGAUGGAGGGGGAUAACUACUGGAAACGGUAGCUAAUACCGCAUAACGUCGCAAGACCAAAGAGGGGGACCUUCGGGCCUCUUGCCAUCAGAUGUGCCCAGAUGGGAUUAGCUAGUAGGUGGGGUAACGGCUCACCUAGGCGACGAUCCCUAGCUGGUCUGAGAGGAUGACCAGCCACACUGGAACUGAGACACGGUCCAGACUCCUACGGGAGGCAGCAGUGGGGAAUAUUGCACAAUGGGCGCAAGCCUGAUGCAGCCAUGCCGCGUGUAUGAAGAAGGCCUUCGGGUUGUAAAGUACUUUCAGCGGGGAGGAAGGUGUUGUGGUUAAUAACCGCAGCAAUUGACGUUACCCGCAGAAGAAGCACCGGCUAACUCCGUGYCCWGCAGCCGCGGUAAUACGGAGGGUGCAAGCGUUAAUCGGAAUUACUGGGCGUAAAGCGCACGCAGGCGGUCUGUCAAGUCGGAUGUGAAAUCCCCCGGGCUCAACCUGGGAACUGCAUUC
RNAcentral lists this ribosomal RNA (521 nucleotides) under Enterobacter cloacae. RNAcentral describes it as "bacterial SSU rRNA". It matches the Rfam family "Bacterial small subunit ribosomal RNA", at positions 113 to 628 of the family's 1533-position model. Lineage: Bacteria; Pseudomonadati; Pseudomonadota; Gammaproteobacteria; Enterobacterales; Enterobacteriaceae. The record is from RNAcentral.